This is a non-coding RNA of Vibrio sp., 73 nucleotides long. The record is from Rfam. NCBI's taxonomy places the organism in Bacteria, Pseudomonadati, Pseudomonadota, Gammaproteobacteria, Vibrionales, Vibrionaceae.
GCCCGGAUAGCUCAGUCGGUAGAGCAGAGGAUUGAAAAUCCUCGUGUCGGUGGUUCGAUUCCGCCUCCGGGCA